UUAGUACGGCGAGUGAAGCGGCAAAAGCUCAAAUUUGAAAGCUAGCACCUUCGGUGUUCGCGUUGUAAUUUGAAGAUAGUUUCCUUGAGUAGUCCUUUAUCUAUGUUCCUUGGAACAGGACGUCAUAGAGGGUGAGAACCCCGUAUGAUUUUGGAUACUACUCUUUGUGGGAUUCUAUCGAAGAGUCGAGUUGUUUGGGAAUGCAGCUCUAAGUGGGUGGUAAAUUCCAUCUAAAGCUAAAUAUUGGCGAGAGACCGAUAGCGAACAAGUACAGUGAUGGAAAGAUGAAAAGAACUCUGAAGAGAGAGUGAAAAAGUACGUGAAAUUGCUGAAAGGGAAGGGCUUGAGGUCAGACUUGGUGUUUAAUGAUUAUCAGUUCUUCUUGGACUGUGCACUCGUUUUUCACCGGGCCAAUAUCAGUUUUAGCGGUAGAGUACCCCUUGAAAUGUGGCUUCCUUCGGGGAGUGUUAUAGUCUUGGGGAGAUCUACUUGCUGGGACUGAGGACUGCGCUUCGGCAAGGAUAUUGGCGUAAUGACCUUAAGCCGCCCGUCUUGAAACCA
This 561-nucleotide ribosomal RNA is filed under the name Saccharomycopsis fibuligera. RNAcentral describes it as "partial large subunit ribosomal RNA". It matches the Rfam family "Eukaryotic large subunit ribosomal RNA", at positions 80 to 661 of the family's 3401-position model. Lineage: Eukaryota; Fungi; Ascomycota; Saccharomycetes; Ascoideales; Saccharomycopsidaceae. The record is from RNAcentral.